UACGUAGGGGGCUAGCGUUGUCCGGAAUCAUUGGGCGUAAGGGCGUGUAGGCGGGCAGGUAGGUCCGCUGGUAAAACUCGAGGCUCAACCUCGAGAUGUCGGCGGAAACCAUCUGGCUAGAGUCCGGAAGAGGAGAGUGGAAUUCCUGGUGUAGCGGUGAAAUGCGCAGAUAUCAGGAAGAACACCCGUGGCGAAGGCGGCUCUCUGGGACGGUACUGACGCUGAGACGCGAAAGCGUGGGGAGCGAACAGG
This 252-nucleotide ribosomal RNA is filed under the name uncultured bacterium. RNAcentral's name for it is "partial 16S ribosomal RNA". It matches the Rfam family "Bacterial small subunit ribosomal RNA", at positions 524 to 776 of the family's 1533-position model. The record is from RNAcentral.